UUGCCAGGCAGAUUAUGCUAAUAAGACCCCGCCUUUUAUGCUGCUCCCACUCUGCGGCGGGAAGAACCACCUGGAGGUGGCGGGGGGGUUUGAUUUCUAUCACCCCUAGGGAGAGAGGAUCGGGGACCCGCUGAUCUUCCAGCUCCCCUCACCCAACGUCGUGCACGCUGCAGACAGACCUUUCUGUCCUUCAUGAACACACGUGUGGUAGACAGAUGACUGGCCUCCACCUGGUGCUGCUCUAGGUGUGCCAGUCGUGGAGCUGUCCAGCUGGGAGAAGAUGGAUUCCAAAGAUGAAAGCUCGCAUGUGUGGCCUUCGCCUGCGGACCAUGAACAGAAUGCCACACAGGUGCACUUUGUUCCGGACACUGGAACGGUGGCUCAGAUCGUCUACACUGAUGACCAGGUUCGCCCACCCCAGCAGGUGGUGUACACGGCAGAUGGUGCCUCCUACACAUCAGUGGAUGGUCCAGAGCACACGCUGGUGUACAUCCACCCGGUGGAGGCUGCGCAGACUCUGUUUACAGACCCAGGCCAGGUAGCUUACGUCCAACAAGAUGCUACAGCUCAGCAGGCCUCAUUGCCAGUGCAUAACCAGGUGCUGCCUUCAAUCGAGAGUGUGGAUGGGUCCGAUCCUUUGGCAACUCUGCAGACCCCUCUAGGUAGACUGGAGGCGAAAGAGGAAGAGGAUGAGGAUGAGGACGAGGACACUGAGGAAGAAGAGGAGGAAGACGGUGAGGACACAGAUCUGGAUGACUGGGAGCCAGACCCACCCCGGCCCUUCGACCCGCACGACUUAUGGUGUGAGGAGUGUAAUAACGCGCAUUCUUCAGUGUGCCCGAAGCACGGCCCCUUGCACCCGAUCCCCAACCGGCCGGUGCUCACCCGUGCGAGGGCGAGCCUCCCCCUGGUGCUCUACAUAGACAGGUUUCUGGGCGGGGUGUUCUCCAAGCGGCGCAUCCCCAAGCGCACCCAGUUUGGGCCCGUGGAGGGGCCUCUCGUCAGGGGCUCGGAGCUGAAAGACUGUUACAUUCACCUCAAGGUUUCUCUUGAUAAAGGGGACAGAAAAGACAGGGAUUUGCAUGAAGACCUGUGGUUCGAGUUGUCUGAUGAGACGCUUUGUAACUGGAUGAUGUUUGUACGGCCAGCCCAGAAUCACCUGGAGCAGAACCUUGUGGCUUACCAGUAUGGCCACCAUGUGUAUUAUACAACCAUAAAAAAUGUGGAGCCCAAGCAGGAACUGAAGGUGUGGUACGCCGCAUCCUAUGCUGAGUUCGUGAACCAGAAAAUUCAUGACAUUUCUGAGGAAGAAAGGAAAGUUCUUCGAGAGCAAGAGAAGAAUUGGCCCUGUUAUGAAUGUAACCGCCGAUUUAUAAGCUCGGAGCAGCUACAACAGCACCUCAAUUCUCAUGAUGAGAAACUAGAUGUGUUUAGCAGAACAAGAGGCAGAGGAAGGGGACGAGGCAAGAGGCGAUUUGGUCCAGGUCGACGACCGGGGCGUCCUCCAAAAUUUAUCCGCCUGGAAAUCACCAGCGAAAAUGGGGAAAAGAGUGAUGAUGGGACACAGGACUUGCUACAUUUUCCCACAAAGGAGCAAUUUGAUGAGGCUGAACCAGCCACUUUGAAUGGGCUGGAUCAACCAGAACAGACCACUAUCCCAAUCCCUCAGCUGCCACAAGAAACCCAGUCUCCCCUGGAACAUGAACCAGAAACUCACACCCUGCAUCUGCAGCCGCAGCACGAAGAGAGCAUGGUGCCCACCCAGAGCACGCUGACAGCCGAUGACAUGCGCAGAGCCAAGCGCAUCCGAUUGGAGCUGCAGAAUGCAGCUCUUCAGCAUCUGUUUAUUCGGAAGUCCUUCCGGCCUUUUAAAUGCUUGCAGUGUGGGAAGGCCUUCCGGGAAAAGGACAAACUGGACCAGCACUUGCGUUUCCAUGGGCGGGAGGGGAACUGCCCAUUGACCUGUGAUCUCUGUAACAAGGGCUUCAUCAGCAGCGCAUCCUUGGAGAGCCACAUGAAGCUCCACUCAGACCAGAAGACUUACUCUUGCAUUUUUUGCCCAGAAUCCUUUGACCGCCUUGAUUUGUUGAAAGAUCAUGUGGCCAUUCAUAUUAAUGAUGGCUACUUCACCUGCCCAACUUGUAAGAAACGGUUCCCAGAUUUUAUCCAGGUGAAAAAACACGUGCGCAGCUUCCACUCCGAAAAGAUCUACCAGUGCACAGAGUGCGACAAGGCCUUCUGUCGCCCGGACAAACUGCGACUCCACAUGCUCCGGCAUUCGGACCGCAAAGACUUCCUGUGUUCCACCUGUGGGAAGCAAUUUAAGCGAAAAGACAAGCUACGGGAACACAUGCAGAGGAUGCAUAAUCCCGAGAGGGAGGCCAAGAAAGCUGACCGCAUCAGCCGCUCCAAGACGUUCAAGCCUCGCAUCACGUCCACAGACUACGACAGCUUCACGUUCAAGUGCCGCCUGUGCAUGAUGGGUUUCCGGCGGCGCGGCAUGCUGGUAAAUCACUUAUCAAAGAGACAUCCAGACAUGAAGAUAGAAGAGGUGCCAGAGUUAACCCUACCCAUCAUAAAGCCCAACCGUGAUUACUUCUGUCAGUAUUGCGAUAAGGUUUAUAAAAGUGCCAGCAAGCGCAAAGCCCACAUUCUGAAGAACCACCCAGGAGCAGAGCUGCCACCGAGCAUUCGGAAACUCCGGCCAGCUGGUCCUGGCGAGCCAGACCCCAUGCUGAGCACACACACCCAGCUGACAGGCACCAUCGCCACCCCUCCCGUCUGCUGUCCCCACUGCUCCAAGCAGUACAGUAGCAAGACCAAAAUGGUCCAGCACAUUCGAAAGAAGCAUCCGGAGUUCGCCCAGCUCUCCAACACCAUACACACACCACUGACGACAGCUGUGAUCAGUGCCACCCCAGCAGUUUUAACUACAGACAGCGCCACUGGAGAGACCGUGGUGACGACGGACCUGCUCACCCAAGCAAUGACAGAACUGUCCCAGACCUUAACGACAGACUACCGAACGCCGCAGGGGGAUUACCCGAGAAUUCAGUACAUCCCUGUGUCGCAGUCGGCGUCUGGGCUCCAGCAGCCUCAGCACAUACAGCUUCAAGUGGUGCAAGUGGCCCCGGCCACCUCCCCUCACCAGUCACAGCAGUCCACUGUGGAUGUAGGCCAGCUCCACGAUCCUCAGCCCUACCCCCAGCAUGCCAUCCAGGUGCAGCACAUCCAGGUCAGCGAGCCCACCGCCUCGGCCCCGUCCUCGGCCCAGGUAUCUGCGCAGCCAUUGAGUCCCUCAGCCCAGCAGGCUCAGCAGGGACUCAGCCCCUCCCACAUCCAGGGCAGUUCUUCCACACAGGGCCAGGCUCUGCAGCAGCAGCAGCAGCAGCAGCAGAAUUCCUCUGUGCAGCACACGUACCUGCCCAGCACUUGGAAUUCCUUCCGUGGCUAUUCAUCUGAGAUUCAAAUGAUGACGCUUCCCCCAGGUCAGUUCGUGAUUACAGACAGCGGUGUGGCGACUCCAGUUACUACUGGCCAGGUGAAGGCGGUUACUCCGCUGACCAACCCUCCUUCUGACUGACAGACACAUUUCUUUAAAAAUGUUAAUGUAACAAAAUAGCCAGCUACAGGUCUAUGAAGAUGUUUUCAUGAUGAGGGGAAAAAUAAGAAAACAAAGACAAUGUGGUCAUUAUGUGUUGUCAGAAAGUCAACCAGAAUUGGAAGAAAAGCAGACUUCUGCCCUUUCUGGUGGAGUCCAGGUCCAGCCUCCUGCACACAGUGACUCCUUGGACCCCCAGACCACCAGCCAACAGCAGACCACACAGUACAUCAUCACCACCACCACCAAUGGGAACGGAAGCAGCGAAGUGCACAUCACCAAACCGUGACUUCUACCCUGGAGCUCCAGUCCAGCACCCACCUCAUGUCUGUUCUGACAUGAGUUUCAUAAGUCUGAAAGCUCUGACACUUAGAACUCUUUUGUAAGAUUUAUUAUUCACUCAAGAGUUUGGAAACAGCAGUUUCGUCUCUCAUGCAUACACUGGGGUUUAUUUUAUCAAGGUCACCUUUAUCAAACUCACUCUUCAAACCCUCAGUUUUUGCCAUGGAAUGGAGGUCUUUCAGGGGAAAGUAGAUUACGAGAUGGAGAGAAUCGGACUUGCUCUUGAGUUGUUUUUUUAACACGCUGACAAGCCUUACUUUUCCUUUGUGGAAAUAUUAAGUGGCGUAUUCAUACCAAAGGUGGAGAAAGGAUGUGCCAAGUCCAUGGUUACCGGACUUCUUAUUCCAAGCUAUGGCACCGAAGGAGAAGGGGCAUUUUGUGGGUAUGUGUUAGGUCUGAACUGCUUUAUCUUGUGAGUUUUAGUUUUCAGUAAUUUCCAAAGGAAGCCUGUCGAAUAAGCAAAUAAAAAUGAUGAAACAAAAGUUUGACAGUGAUGUUCUGAAGGAAUAACUGUCAUCUAAAUUUUUCUUAUUGCUGAUUUAUUUUUAACUUCCCUAUUUUAGAAAACUAUUGUUGGGCUGCUGGUAGUGCUUUCCACAGAUGCUGGUCCUCAGUGGAUUAGGUCAGGAGCUGAUGUUCUGAUAGCUCUUCAUUAUUUCACAAGGUGGAUUCCCUGAAAGAGAAGAGGCUGCUUGAAGUCAGCAGAAUCUAAACCCUUACAUUCAAACUUUGCCUCCCAUUCUCUGGUUGUGGUGGUGGUAAGAAAGAGAUAUUGGUACCAAGAAAAAUUACCAAAACUGUUGAGAGAGAGAGUAUUGAAAUUUUGUUCUGCCUUGCAGGAUUCAUUUGUCAUUCAUUGGUAAAGGAUGCAUUCCAUGUUCUUACCAAGUGUACAUUUAACUCUUGCUGACAGUGUUCAGUGUAUUUUAGUACUUCUAAUGCUGUCUUAAAAUGAACAUUCUUUAAAGUUGAAUGGAAAGGUGGCAUUUCAUAUUUCUUAACACUUUUAACGGUAAACAUAUUGUGACUCAUCUGGACCUUUUAAUAAGAUGAUCAACUUCACACUUAGGGAAAAAUUAAAAUGUGGGGACCGCUUAUAAUAAUUAAGAUAGUUACAAGGGAUCUGGAAGAAAUCCAGUCUUUAUGAGUAUACUGUUAGUUGGGCAUUAAAAAAACCAG
Molecule: RNA transcript, 5122 nt
Organism: Sapajus apella (tufted capuchin)
Lineage: Eukaryota; Metazoa; Chordata; Mammalia; Primates; Cebidae
Gene: PRDM10
Gene name: PR/SET domain 10
Exons: 23
Source: RefSeq, a predicted model, not a curated record